UCGGCCUCUCUGAAGCUCCUCCAUUUCUGGCUGCUUUUCACUGCCGUCUGCCUGCCUGUGUUCUUGUCUUCACGCCGGCCUUUGGAGAGGCUCUGCAUUGAACGACCUUGCACUGGGCCGGUUUCUUUUCUAAAGGACUGCAGUGUGAGAAGGCAGCACCGCCCCGGCGCCCGCGAGGAAGCCGAACUGCUCAUAAGUUAAGCAGCCCCAGCCAGGUCACGGGGCAAGGAAGCCGCCUGCGACCUCGGAAACCCCUGGUUCAUCCCAUGACCCACCCCCGUUCAUCCGGUGACCCACCCCUCACCCCGGUUCAUCC
This 316-nucleotide long non-coding RNA is filed under the name Homo sapiens (human). Its description in RNAcentral is "HSALNT0324650". The record is from RNAcentral. Lineage: Eukaryota; Metazoa; Chordata; Mammalia; Primates; Hominidae.